GAUGAAGAACGCAGCGAAAUGCGACAAGUAAUGUGAAUUGCAGAAUUCCGUGAAUCAUCGAAUCUUUGAACGCACAUUGCGCCCCCUGGUAUUCCGGGGGGCAUGCCUGUCCGAGCGUCAUUGCUGCCCUCAAGCACGGCUUGUGUGUUGGGCCCCGUCCUCCGAUUCCGGGGGACGGGCCCGAAAGGCAGCGGCGGCACCGCGUCCGGUCCUCGAGCGUAUGGGGCUUUGUCACCCGCUCUGUAGGCCCGGCCGGCGCUUGCCGAUCAACCCAAAUUUUUAUCCAGGUUGACCUCGGAUCAGGUAGGGAUACCCGCUGAACUUAAGCAUAUCAAUAAGCGGAGGA
Molecule: unclassified non-coding RNA, 346 nt
Filed under: soil metagenome
Description: partial contains 5.8S ribosomal RNA, internal transcribed spacer 2, and large subunit ribosomal RNA
Rfam family: 5.8S ribosomal RNA (bases 1-120)
Source: RNAcentral